UGCUACGUCUGAAAAGUUAAGAAUU
RNAcentral lists this non-coding RNA (25 nucleotides) under Rattus norvegicus (Norway rat). Lineage: Eukaryota; Metazoa; Chordata; Mammalia; Rodentia; Muridae. The record is from RNAcentral.